This 630-nucleotide long non-coding RNA is filed under the name Heterocephalus glaber (naked mole-rat). RNAcentral's name for it is "lncRNA (ENSHGLG00000033921.1)". Lineage: Eukaryota; Metazoa; Chordata; Mammalia; Rodentia; Bathyergidae. The record is from RNAcentral.
GGAUGCAUUGUCUACAUGUAAGAAAUGAUUGAGGGAAUUGCACUGGAUACAUAGAAAGAAGUGUAGCCAAUAUUCUGUAUGUGACCCUGUGGAAGAAGAUGAGUAAGGUAUCUAUAGGCUGGGGAUAUGUUAUGGCUGUGUCUAGAUGUCCCUCCAAAGCCUCAUGCAGUCAUAGGUGGGCUUUUUCAGAGAUAGCUGAAUCUAGAGUGUGUAAUGCUGGAAAUGAUUCAUGGUGCAAUUCUAGGCUCAAGGGCACUAAGAUUAAAGGUGUAUUACCCACCCUAAGUAACCUGGAUUGGAUAUAAGGGAUUGAAAGAGCUGUGGUUGUUGCUUAUUGCCUUGCUACCUUCUGCCUUCCAUGAACUGUUUCUUCUCUGUGAUGCCAGCCUGCCCUGGAACCAGCCAGUUAUGGACUGAAACCUCUGAAAACUGAGACCAUGGACACUCACAGAAUUUGAGGCUCAAGAGGAGCAUAUCAUUGGUUGUAAUCUCUUCAUAGAGAGGAUACUGCCUGGACUGGCGACUCCUAGUGAGUGAACAAGGUUAUCCCAGAGACUUGUAAAGAUUAAAUGUUCUGGGGCCGGGGAUUUACCUCAGUGGUGCCGCUGUCUGCCUCGCAAGCACAAGGUC